AAACUGAAGGAAUGAGUUUAGAACCCGUCGACUCCAAAAUAUAUGAUAAAGUUCAACUUGGAUGGUCGUGACGUAAUUUGGGGUAAUCUUCUCUGACGGCAAUACUGGUUACCACAUCGACGGUCUUCGCGCACCGUCGGUUAGUGAGAUCGCUUGCGUCGUGCGUCAUCUCGCUCAUGCGGCGCUGGGCGCAGACUCCGCAGGUAUGUUGUUUUGCCGUCUUGGCCUGUUCAUCUUGGCUCUGUUUUUUUUUUUUAAAUGAGUUCUCAUCUUUGCUCUGUUGUGCAGCCUGCAGGGGGAUGGGAGGAGCGACGGGAGGCCCAAUCGUGUGCUUCCUACAAGGCUCCACUGCAGCCGUUGAGGGAGUUGGCGGUGCUGGUCCCCGAAGCAAUGGGCCUGAACCAGGAGAGGUCUCUGCGCUCCACAACCAGCUGGAGGUGCCUUUACUGAGAUGGCUUCGCACUCUUGCGCCAUCCAGAGAUUUGUGACUACACAAGGAUGCCAUUGGAGAUCGGGACUGGACGAACAGCCCAGUCGAGUAGGUCUUGUCUGUUGGAUACAGGCCCGGCUUGACGAAUACCUUUGGUCGAGACGAUCUCUUACGCGGCAGGCACAAAGAACAAGCAAGCACGCAAGCCGGUCGAUGGAUACCCACGUAACAAAGCUAAACACCCAAGCUAGCAGCUGGAUGGAUUGUUGACGUGAAGCUAGCUAGAAAAAGCUAGGAUCCGUUGGCUGUACAAGCACGUAUACAUGUACGUGCAAAGUCGCUGAAAGACACGCGAAAAUCACACGGGGACACAGACGAUCUAAUGGCUUCCGAUUCUUUCUUUUGUAUUGAUCUAAUUCAGAGAGUACAGGGUACACGAGUAUUUAUAUUAUAGCUAUCCUGCCAACUAAUUUAGUCCUACUCGGA
Molecule: long non-coding RNA, 916 nt
Filed under: Hordeum vulgare
Lineage: Eukaryota; Viridiplantae; Streptophyta; Magnoliopsida; Poales; Poaceae
Description: long non-coding RNA (HVUL_LNC000227)
Source: RNAcentral